GACGUAGGGCGCGAGCGUUGUCCGGAAUUAUUGGACGUAAAGCGCGCGCAGGCGGUCUUUUAAGUCUGAUGUGAAAUCUCGCGGCUCAACCGCGAGCGGUCAUUGGAAACUGGAGGACUUGAGUACAGAAGAGGAGAGUGGAAUUCCACGUGUAGCGGUGAAAUGCGUAGAGAUGUGGAGGAACACCAGUGGCGAAGGCGACUCUCUGGUCUGUAACUGACGCUGAGGCGCGAAAGCGUGGGGAGCGAACAGG
RNAcentral lists this unclassified non-coding RNA (253 nucleotides) under uncultured Bacillaceae bacterium. RNAcentral's name for it is "contains 16S-23S intergenic spacer region". It matches the Rfam family "Bacterial small subunit ribosomal RNA", at positions 524 to 776 of the family's 1533-position model. Lineage: Bacteria; Bacillati; Bacillota; Bacilli; Caryophanales; Bacillaceae. The record is from RNAcentral.